Molecule: long non-coding RNA, 1411 nt
Filed under: Malus domestica (apple)
Lineage: Eukaryota; Viridiplantae; Streptophyta; Magnoliopsida; Rosales; Rosaceae
Description: long non-coding RNA (MDOM_LNC019017)
Source: RNAcentral
UACUAGGCUUUGAAUUUCAUGGUUAAUGUUUUGUUUUUGAAUGCAUGCAAGCAUGAUUCCGCCUUUAAUUGUUAAAUGCAUGCUAUAGAUGUUAUUCAACAUGUUUUCACAAAAUCAUCCUUCAAGUGGUAUCAGAGCCUAGGUCUAGUAGUUGGUGAAUCCUUUUGGGUUUUGUGGUUCAUAGUUUGUGAUUUAAAAGUUGUAAUAUGUUACAAGCUUUAUUCUUGUUUCUUUGAAUGUAAAUUUUGUUAGAAAAUUUGCCAUGUCAAAUGUUGUAGAUGUUGUUCAUAUGAAUGAGCAUGAAUAUUGGAGCUAAAAUUUGGUGCCAUGCUUUUGGGAAUUUUCGGCCAAAUCCAAAGGGUGAAUUUUUGGGUUCUUGUUUGACUUGUUAAAAGUGUUUUCAAGUAACUUUUGGAACCCCUAUGUACCCUAGUUUGGUUAUAUGUUAUUUCCCUAAAGUUUGAAUGGUUUUGGGAUGUUUUUGGAGUAAAAAUGUUCAUGGAAAUUUUUUGGGUUUUUCAUGAAUGUUCUUCAUUGUUCUUGACAUUUUUGCCAAGAACAAAAAGUUUUGUGUUUUGAUUCAAAGUUUUGAUUUAUUUCAUAAAGUUUAUGUUUUAUGUUUUUCAAAUGAUUUAAUGUGUUAGAUAUUUGUUUAAAUGGUGUAAGAAUUAAUGGUGGGUGUGAAAGGAUUAAUUCCCUUCACACACACCACUUGCACCACUUGCAUGCUUUAUGUCAAAACUCACAAAUCAACACACACAUCACUCUAAUCCUUCUCCAAAACCGGCCCUCCCUCAAGUGGGAGUACUUUUGGGGCUUUUAUGCAAUUACAUAAAGUUUUGAUACUUUUGUGUAUUUGCAUUUUGGCCCAAAAGUUUACGUUUUUACGUUUAGGUCCAAAAACGCUAAAGGACAAAUUGUUUUGCUCCUUUAAUGAAGUUUUUGCAUUGUUUAAAUUUUGGGUUCUAGUUGUAAUUACAUGAAGUAGUGGACUUUUGUGUUUUUACAAAGUGACCCCAAAAGUUUGUGUUUUCGCAUUAUGACCCAAAUAAGUUGUGGUUAUUGCAUAUUGGCCCAAAUUAGGUGGAGAACAAAAUUAUUUUGUCUCUUUAAAUGAGAAUUGGAUUUUCAUUUCAUUUAGCUCCAUUUAAAUCAAUCUUAUGGAUACAAAAACCAAAUGAAAAUGUUGCAUUCAAUUUAAUUAGUUAAUGUGUUAAUUAAUUAAAGGGUGAUUAUGAACCUAAGCCUACGAUAAUUGAGCUAUGUGAAAGGCCGUUUCAAAUUUGUUUGAACCAUGGGAAUGUGUAGAUUAGAUUUUGGUUGUAAUUUGAUUUGAUCAAAUGUUGUAAAAGAGUAUAAGCUCUUCUUUACUUUAAAGUAAUUUGAUUUAUGCAAAUGUUGUAAUGAGCAU